RNAcentral lists this long non-coding RNA (1234 nucleotides) under Arabidopsis thaliana (thale cress). Its description in RNAcentral is "long non-coding RNA (ATHA_LNC000436)". Lineage: Eukaryota; Viridiplantae; Streptophyta; Magnoliopsida; Brassicales; Brassicaceae. The record is from RNAcentral.
ACUGCUAAAGAGCCUUCUUUUACAGCUGAAGGCUUUGAGAUAAGCGUUGGAACCAACCAUCUCGGUCACUUUCUUCUCUCAAGAUUGCUUCUUGAUGACCUGAAAAAAUCUGAUUAUCCAUCAAAACGUAUGAUCAUCGUAGGAUCUAUAACAGGUAAAUAACACAGACAACUUGUCCAUUUCCACCAAGAUAGUUCCUAGUAUCAAACAAUGAAUGUUCUUUUCUAUGUUCUUGCAGGAAACACAAAUACUUUGGCUGGGAAUGUACCGCCAAAGGCAAACCUUGGAGACCUAAGAGGCUUAGCGUCAGGAUUGAAUGGGCAAAACAGUUCAAUGAUAGAUGGAGGAGAGUUUGAUGGAGCAAAGGCUUACAAAGACAGCAAAGUAUGCAAUAUGCUGACAAUGCAGGAGCUUCACAGACGUUACCACGAGGAAACAGGAGUCACGUUUGCUUCUCUUUACCCUGGUUGCAUCGCUACAACAGGGUUGUUCAGAGAACACAUACCGCUGUUUCGGCUUCUUUUUCCGCCUUUUCAAAAGUAUAUCACCAAAGGUUACGUAUCUGAAGAGGAAGCUGGCAAAAGACUAGCACAGGUCAGUUUGCAUUGCAAAUCCUUUCUAAUAUAUGUAUAACAGAUUAUUGAUUGAUACUGAGGAUGUGGUUUUGUUUUAGGUUGUGAGUGACCCUAGUCUUGGGAAGUCAGGAGUGUAUUGGAGUUGGAACAAUAACUCGUCUUCGUUUGAGAAUCAGCUUUCUAAAGAAGCAAGUGAUGCGGAGAAGGCAAAGAAACUGUGGGAGGUUAGCGAGAAGCUUGUUGGUUUGGCAUGAACUCAAGAUUUUUGAUAUGCAAAUUCAUAUAGAUUACUAUGUUUUGUGACAUGUACAAUAAGUAUGAUCAAUCAGACUAAUCAUUCGAAUGCAUUUCAAUAGAGUUAAUCAUCGAAUUCGAAUCUGAAGACACUUACAAUUAGACUGAUGAUUCGUAGAUUGCUCCAUAGUUGAGAUGGGGACAUGAAUCGUUACUGUUGUUGAGACACGACCAACGAACUGCAUCGUAAUCCCGAGUAAAAUUUAACCGAUAAGAGUCUUCGGUCUUAGAGAAUCUAACAUCUUUCUUCUCUCUUCGAGAAUUACCCGAUGAUCGGAAUUACAAAACGGUUAACACCGGCGAGAAUUGGUGGGAUAUCAUGUCGUGGAUCUUUUCUAGUGUGCCUUUUCUCUAACACGUCGUCG